Molecule: long non-coding RNA, 201 nt
Filed under: Homo sapiens (human)
Lineage: Eukaryota; Metazoa; Chordata; Mammalia; Primates; Hominidae
Description: HSALNT0156834
Source: RNAcentral
AUCUCUGGCCAUGUCUGUGGGAGCAGUCAGAGUUGAACAGGCUGGUCUGUCCUGGGAGUCAUUGGCAGGGACAGUGGACACUGAAGCUACUGGCAGAGCUAGGUGCAUGGGGCUCGCUGCUGCACAGCCAGCAUCUCCCUAGGCCGGGGCGUCACCUGGAAGGGCUGCUGCUGUCAGCCUGAGGAACUGGCUGGGGGGCAU